RNAcentral lists this ribosomal RNA (253 nucleotides) under uncultured bacterium. RNAcentral's name for it is "partial 16S ribosomal RNA". It matches the Rfam family "Bacterial small subunit ribosomal RNA", at positions 524 to 776 of the family's 1533-position model. The record is from RNAcentral.
UACGUGGGGGGCAAGCGUUGUUCGGAAUUACUGGGCGUAAAGGGCUCGUAGGUGGCCAACUAAGUCAGACGUGAAAUCCCUCGGCUUAACCGGGGAACUGCGUCUGAUACUGGAUGGCUAGAGAUUGGGAGAGGGAUGCGGAAUUCCAGGUGUAGCGGUGAAAUGCGUAGAUAUCUGGAGGAACACCGGUGGCGAAGGCGGCAUCCUGGACCAACACUGACGCUGAGGAGCGAAAGCCAGGGGAGCAAACGGG